ACUCCUGCGGGAGGCAGCAGUGGGGAAUUUUGGACAAUGGGCGAAAGCCUGAUCCAGCAAUGCCGCGUGAGUGAAGAAGGCCUUCGGGUUGUAAAGCUCUUUUGUCAGGGAAGAAACGGUGAGAGCUAAUAUCUCUUGCUAAUGACGGUACCUGAAGAAUAAGCACCGGCUAACUACGUGCCAGCAGCCGCGGUAAUACGUAGGGUGCAAGCGUUAAUCGGAAUUACUGGGCGUAAAGCGUGCGCAGGCGGUUUUGUAAGUCUGAUGUGAAAUCCCCGGGCUCAACCUGGGAAUUGCAUUGGAGACUGCAAGGCUAGAAUCUGGCAGAGGGGGGUAGAAUUCCACGUGUAGCAGUGAAAUGCGUAGAUAUGUGGAGGAACACCGAUGGCGAAGGCAGCCCCCUGGGUCAAGAUUGACGCUCAUGCACGAAAGCGUGGGGAGCAAACAGGAUUAGAAACCCGGGUAGUCCCA
RNAcentral lists this ribosomal RNA (471 nucleotides) under uncultured organism. RNAcentral describes it as "partial 16S ribosomal RNA". It matches the Rfam family "Bacterial small subunit ribosomal RNA", at positions 335 to 797 of the family's 1533-position model. The record is from RNAcentral.